Molecule: non-coding RNA, 1606 nt
Filed under: Cryptosporidium parvum
Lineage: Eukaryota; Apicomplexa; Conoidasida; Eucoccidiorida; Cryptosporidiidae
Source: RNAcentral
ACGCAUUGUAAGAAAAAAAAGUAAAUUAACUAAUUACGGGUACUAUAGUAUUUUAGAGUGACAUUGUUGGCAAUGCAGCCAUAAUUCUAUCCACACAGUUGCAGAAAGAAAUUUAAAAUUAAACUUUAAUUAACUGACGCAAUUCUUGCAUAUUUAUAAUAGUAGCGUAAUAGAUGAAAUUUAUAAGUUUUCCUCAAAAAGGGUUUAGAAGAGUCAAAGAAGAACGGAAUCAUAUCGUUCUGAUGCUAAGCUCAAUGAUCUGAGAAAAAAUGAGUAUAUAUGAUUGCAGAGAAGCAGAGUGGGUAAACCAAUAUAGAGAAAAUGAGCAGGAUCACAGCCAUGAUCUUUGAAGUGUUCCAAGGGGAAUCUGAAAAUAACUUGAGAUGUAGAACAGCCGGAAGGAAGUAACAUACAGUAUUUGAGCAAAAUAGUCCAACAAAUUCGUAUGUGAGGCCAAGGUCAGAAACGAAAUAUGUAACAGUUGUACAGAUAAAAAGGAAAAUAAAGGUGAGAGUUCUAAGUAAGUGACGAUCUUUUGUUGAUGAUCCUUCUGCAUCUUCUCCACUUUUAAUAAUAACGGCAAGGGACUUUCUGAAUGAAUGACAAGAUACCGGGAAUGAAAAUACAAGCGAUGAUACUAAUACAAUUUUAGCAAUAACAACAGUUAGUGAUUGAGUACCAAACAUACUGAGGAUAUCAGAGGACUUGAGAGUGUUUCCAAACAGCAUAUAUCCUGAAGAACCCAUAAGGAUGUAAAUUAAAGUACAAAAUCCAAGUGAAACAACUGAAGAGAAAACCAAUUUGUAUAACGUCUUGUCUGCAAGCUCAUUUGCAACGUUGAGGAAGUUGUGGUGGCAUGUGAAAGAAAACACAAAUAUUGGGAAUGUCUGGAGCAUAAAAAUUGGUCUCCUAGUUGAGAUAAGUUCAACCUUCUCAAGCAUUGUUGUAAGUUCUGGAAGGCCAACAAGGAAGCUGAAUAUUACAACUGCUGCAACAUAGAGGGAUGAAAAUACAGCAAUCCAAUUAAUGAUAGUAAGCUCGGCAAGAGAUGUAGGAUAACUGGCUGGACCGAUAAUAAAAAUCACAACAAAUAACAAAAUUGCAGUUCUCGUAUUAGAUUCUGAUAGAUAUGGAGCAAGAAAACCCCCGAACAAGGUUUGUAUUACAGCUACAACGACCAUAAGAUAAGUAAUACAGGACCCAAGUGACAUAAUUAGUAUGGAUGUAUCGAUCAGUGACUUUAGCUUUGGGAAAGUUUUUUCAGCAAUCGAAUAGUAUGUUACAGGCAUCAUUGUACCUGUUGGAUCUUCAUUAAGUGAUAUUUCGGAAAGAAGAAUGCAUGCAAGCGUUGAAAACAUGCCUGAUAUUAUUGUCAUAAAGAUUCCUUGUAAAAGUCCAUUUUUACUGUAUGCCCAAGGUAAUCCAAGAAUUCCGACUCCCAUUGUUGUGUUUACCAAAGCAAAAAAUGAAGAAGUCAUCGACCCCUUUUUAUACCUUUUUUCAAUAAAAUUUUCCAUCCCAAUUAAGACCUGCUCUGAUAAUCGGGAUAUAAAGCUCUCCUUUGAGCUUUUCCUAAUUGUAGAUCUGGAAGGAAGUAAGCUUUUUU